GUGGGGAAUUUUGCGCAAUGGGCUAACGCCUGACGCAGCAACGCCGCGUGGAGGAUGAAGGUCUUUGGAUUGUAAACUCCUGUCAGCAGGGAAAAAGGGAAGGGAGCUAAUACCUCUCUGACUUGAUUGUACCUGCAGAGGAAGCCCCGGCUAACUCUGUGCCAGCAGCCGCGGUAAUACAGAGGGGGCAAGCGUUAUUCGGAAUUAUUGGGCGUAAAGGGCGCGUAGGCGGCUUUGCAAGUGGCGGGUGAAAUCCCUCGGCUUAACCGAGGAACUGCCUGCCAGACUGCAUGGCUUGAGACCGGGAGAGGUGAGUGGAAUUCCCAGUGUAGCGGUGAAAUGCGUAGAUAUUGGGAGGAACACCAGUGGCGAAGGCGGCUCACUGGACCGGUACUGACGCUGAGGCGCGAAAGCGUGGGGAGCAAACAGGAUUAGAAACCCUAGUAGUCC
This 450-nucleotide ribosomal RNA is filed under the name uncultured bacterium. RNAcentral describes it as "bacterial SSU rRNA". It matches the Rfam family "Bacterial small subunit ribosomal RNA", at positions 354 to 796 of the family's 1533-position model. The record is from RNAcentral.